GAUGAACGCUGGCGGCGUGCCUAAUACAUGCAAGUCGAGCGAACGGACGAGAAGCUUGCUUCUCUGAUGUUAGCGGCGGACGGGUGGGUAACACGUGGAUAACCUACCUAUAAGACUGGGAUAACUUCGGGAAACCGGAGCUAAUACCGGAUAAUAUUUUGAACCGCAUGGUUCAAAAGUGAAAGACGGUCUUGCUGUCACUUAUAGAUGGAUCCGCGCUGCAUUAGCUAGUUGGUAAGGUAACGGCUUACCAAGGCAACGAUGCAUAGCCGACCUGAGAGGGUGAUCGGCCACACUGGAACUGAGACACGGUCCAGACUCCUACGGGAGGCAGCAGUAGGGAAUCUUCCGCAAUGGGCGAAAGCCUGACGGAGCAACGCCGCGUGAGUGAUGAAGGUCUUCGGAUCGUAAAACCCUGUUAUUAGGGAAGAACAUAUGUGUAAGUAACUGUGCACAUCUUGACGGUACCUAAUCAGAAAGCCACGGCUAACUACGUG
This 497-nucleotide ribosomal RNA is filed under the name uncultured bacterium. RNAcentral describes it as "partial 16S ribosomal RNA". It matches the Rfam family "Bacterial small subunit ribosomal RNA", at positions 28 to 507 of the family's 1533-position model. The record is from RNAcentral.